UACGGAGGGUGCAAGCGUUAUCCGGAUUCACUGGGUUUAAAGGGUGCGUAGGAGGGCAGGUAAGUCAGUGGUGAAAUCUCCGAGCUUAACUCGGAAACUGCCGUUGAUACUAUCUGUCUUGAAUAUUGUGGAGGUGAGCGGAAUAUGUCAUGUAGCGGUGAAAUGCUUAGAUAUGACAUAGAACACCAAUUGCGAAGGCAGCUCGCUACACAUAUAUUGACUCUGAGGCACGAAAGCGUGGGGAUCAAACAGG
Molecule: ribosomal RNA, 253 nt
Filed under: uncultured bacterium
Lineage: Bacteria
Description: partial 16S ribosomal RNA
Rfam family: Bacterial small subunit ribosomal RNA
Source: RNAcentral